GAUGAACGCUGGCGGCGUGCCUAAUACAUGCAAGUCGAGCGAACGGACGAGAAGCUUGCCUUUCUGAUGUUAGCGGCGGACGGGUGAGUAACACGUGGAUAACCUACCUAUAAGACUGGGAUAACUUCGGGAAACCGGAGCUAAUACCGGAUAAUAUUUUGAACCGCAUGGUUCAAAAGUGAAAGACGGUCUUGCUGUCACUUAUAGAUGGAUCCGCGCUGCAUUAGCUAGUUGGUAAGGUAACGGCUUACCAAGGCAACGAUGCAUAGCCGACCUGAGAGGGUGAUCGGCCACACUGGAACUGAGCCACGGUCCAGACUCCUACGGGAGGCAGCAGUAGGGAAUCUUCCGCAAUGGGCGAAAGCCUGACGGAGCAACGCCGCGUGAGUGAUGAAGGUCUUCGGAUCGUAAAACUCUGUUAUUAGGGAAGAACAUAUGUGUAAGUAACUGUGCACAUCUUGACGGUACCUAAUCAGAAAGCCACGGCUAACUACGUG
RNAcentral lists this ribosomal RNA (497 nucleotides) under uncultured bacterium. RNAcentral describes it as "partial 16S ribosomal RNA". It matches the Rfam family "Bacterial small subunit ribosomal RNA", at positions 28 to 507 of the family's 1533-position model. The record is from RNAcentral.